GACGAACGCUGGCGGCGUGCUUAACACAUGCAAGUCGAACGGAAAGGCCCUGCUUUUGUGGGGUGCUCGAGUGGCGAACGGGUGAGUAACACGUGAGUAACCUGCCCUUGACUUUGGGAUAACUUCAGGAAACUGGGGCUAAUACCGGAUAGGAGCUCCUGCUGCAUGGUGGGGGUUGGAAAGUUUCGGCGGUUGGGGAUGGACUCGCGGCUUAUCAGCUUGUUGGUGGGGUAGUGGCUUACCAAGGCUUUGACGGGUAGCCGGCCUGGGAGGGUGACCGGCCACAUUGGGACUGGGAUGCGGCCCAGACUCCUACGGGAGGCAGCAGUGGGGAAUAUUGCACAAUGGGCGGAAGCCUGAUGCAGCAACGCCGCGUGCGGGAUGACGGCCUUCGGGUUGUAAACCGCUUUCGCCUGUGACGAAGCGUGAGUGACGGUAAUGGGUAAAGAAGCACCGGCUAACUACGUG
This 468-nucleotide ribosomal RNA is filed under the name uncultured bacterium. Its description in RNAcentral is "partial 16S ribosomal RNA". It matches the Rfam family "Bacterial small subunit ribosomal RNA", at positions 28 to 507 of the family's 1533-position model. The record is from RNAcentral.